UACGGGAGGCAGCAGUGGGGAAUAUUGCACAAUGGGCGCAAGCCUGAUGCAGCCAUGCCGCGUGUAUGAAAAAGGCCUUCGGGUUGUAAAGUACUUUCAGUCGUGAGGAAGGUGUUAAGGUUAAUAACCUUAGCAAUUGACGUUAGCGACAGAAGAAGCACCGGCUAACUCCGUGCCAGCAGCCGCGGUAAUACGGAGGGUGCGAGCGUUAAUCGGAAUUACUGGGCGUAAAGGGCACGCAGGCGGUUAAUUAAGUUGGAUGUGAAAUCCCCGGGCUUAACCUGGGAAUGGCAUUCAAGACUGGUUAGCUAGAGUCUUGUAGAGGGGGUUAGAAUUCCAUGUGUAGCGGUGAAAUGCGUAGAGAUGUGGAGGAAUACCGGUGGCGAAGGCGGCCCCUGGACAAAGACUGACGCUCAUGUGCGAAAGCGUGGGGAGCGAAACAGGGAUUAGAUACC
RNAcentral lists this ribosomal RNA (455 nucleotides) under uncultured bacterium. RNAcentral describes it as "bacterial SSU rRNA". It matches the Rfam family "Bacterial small subunit ribosomal RNA", at positions 340 to 786 of the family's 1533-position model. The record is from RNAcentral.